GGAUGAACGUUGGCGGUGUGCCUAAUACAUGCAAGUCGAACGAAGAGAGUAGCAAUACAAUCUUAGUGGCGAACGGGUGAGUAACGCGUUGGUGAUCUGCCUCGAAGUGUGGAAUAACCUCCCGAAAGGGAAGCUAAUACCGCAUGGUCUCUCAGGGUUUAGAAAUCUGAGAGUAAAGGAUUUAUUCGCUUCGAGAGGAGCCUGCGUCCUAUCAGCUCGUUGGUAGGGUAACGGCCUACCAAGGCUAUGACGGGUAGGGGACCUGAGAGGGUGGCCCCCCACAAUGGAACUGAAACACGGUCCAUACACCUACGGGUGGCAGCAGUAGGGAAUAUUAGAAAUGGGCGAAAGCCUGAUCUAGCAACACCGCGUGUGCGAUGAAGGCCUUCGGGUCGUAAAGCACUUUCUGGAGGGAAUAGGAAGGAAGGUACCUCCAGAAUAAGUCUCGGCUAACUACGUGCCAGCAGCCGCGGUAACACGUAGGAGGCAAACGUUAUCCGGAUUCACUGGGCGUAAAGCGCGUGUAGGUGGUUCUGUAAGUAGGGCGUGAAAGCUCCCGGCUCAACUGGGAGAGGCCGUACUAAACUGCAGAGCUAGAGGAUGGUAGAGGGAGGUGGAAUUCNNGGUGUAGUGGUGAAAUGCGCAGANAUCUGGAGGAACACCAGUGGCGAAGGCGGCCUCCUGGACCAUUCCCNGACACUCAGACGCGAAAGCUAGGGUAGCAAACGGAAUUAGAGACUCCGGUAGUCCUAGCCCUAAACGAUGCAGACUAGGCGUCGGCGGUUUAAUCACCGUCGGUGUCCAAGCUAACGCGAUAAGUCUGCCGCCUGAGGACUACGGCCGCAAGGCUAAAACUCAAAGGAAUUGACGGGUCCCCGCACAAGCAGCGGAGCGUGUGGUUUAAUUCGAUGCUCCGCGAAAAACCUUACCUGGGUUUGACAUAACAGUGGUAGAGAAGUGAAAACGGACCGACCCCUCGGGGAGCUGUUACAGGUGUUGCAUGGCUGUCGUCAGCUCGUGUCGUGAGAUGUUCGGUUAAGUCCGCUAACGAGCGCAACCCGCGCUGUGUGUUACAAGUGUCACACAGUACCGCCGGUAUUAAGUCGGAGGAAGGUGCGGAUGACGUCAAGUCAGCAUGACCUUUAUAUCCAGGGCUACACACACGCUACAAUGGUCAGAACAAUAGGUUGCCAAGCCGCAAGGCGGAGCCAAUCCUCCAAAUCUGGCCUCAGUUCAGAUUGCAGGCUGCAACUCGCCUGCAUGAAGUCGGAGUUGCUAGUAACCGCAGGUCAGCAUACUGCGGUGAAUACGUUCCCGGGGAU
RNAcentral lists this ribosomal RNA (1322 nucleotides) under uncultured bacterium. Its description in RNAcentral is "bacterial SSU rRNA". It matches the Rfam family "Bacterial small subunit ribosomal RNA", at positions 27 to 1381 of the family's 1533-position model. The record is from RNAcentral.